This 812-nucleotide long non-coding RNA is filed under the name Coturnix japonica (Japanese quail). RNAcentral's name for it is "lncRNA (ENSCJPG00005008729.1)". Lineage: Eukaryota; Metazoa; Chordata; Aves; Galliformes; Phasianidae. The record is from RNAcentral.
CCCCUAAGUGCCUCUGUGUCUCAGGUGGAUCCUUCCAAGCUCUUCCUCUUGCAGCUGUUCCUAAUCAAUGCUGAGAGCAAGAGUAGGAAGGAUUCCCAAGGGGUUGUAGUGCUCAUCUGGGAAGUGGGAGUGCACAGUUCUAGGUGCAGGGCUUUAGAAUUACUGUUUUAGCUUAAGGUUUCAGUUACUGAAGUAACUGGUGUAUAAAUUGAAUGUGGAGAAUCUGGAUAAAAUAUAGUGGUAGUUGGGAGUGUUGCUGUAUCUUUCUAAUUCCUACAGUUUCUUACUGCAGGAUUCUAUUUGAAUUGAGCAAAGCUGGCUAGUUGUUUGAGUGAUUUUCAGAUAAGGUCUGGGAAAUCAGGCAAGAACAGUGUUUUAGAUUAUUGAGAAAGAUGAAGAAAUUGCUUGAUGUCAGCAUGUUGAUGAUGGGAGGACACUUGCUUCUUUCUUCUCUUCCUGGUAUGAGGAACAAGAGAGGUGGUUCUGCUGAAACCAAGUGUCACCAGGCUGCCUUAUGAAGUCAGUUGAAAUGUGGCAUAAGCCUGUCAGCCUGGGGAAGUACCCCUUUCUGGGUGGCUUUGUGUUCCUUGGCAAUUUUGUAUGCCUGCAUACAUUAUCCUCGUACAGGUGGUCUGCCUGAUCCUCUUUUGUGCCCUGGCAAAGGAAAAGGUAGAGAGGAAAGGAGUAGGUGUCAGCACAGUAUGGCAGAGUGCAAGAAAACACCAGUAAAAGUGCAGCAGGAUCGCCUGUCAUCGCCUGUGGUGGGGGUGGAGAAACCUGGUCCUCACAUGCCACCUAGUGUAGGAAGCUGA